CCUGCCGCGUGAGUGAGGAAGGCCUUAGGGUUGUAAAGCUCUUUACCCGCGACGAUGAUGACGGUAGCGGGAGAAGAAGCCCCGGCUAACUUCGUGCCGCAGCCGCGGUAAUACGAAGGGGGCGAGCGUUGUUCGGAUUUACUGGGCGUAAAGGGCGCGCAGGCGGCUUAUUUUGUCAGGCGUGAAAGCCCCGGGCUUAACCUGGGAACUGCGUUUGAUACGGAUGGGCUAGAGUUCGGGAGAGGAGAGUGGAAUUCCCAGUGUAGAGGUGAAAUUCGUAGAUAUUGGGAAGAACAUCAUUGGCGAAGGCGGCUUCCUGGUCCAAUACUGACGCUGAGGUGCGAAAGCGUGGGGAGCAAACAGGAUUAUAUACCGACGCUGAGGAGCGAAAGCGUGGGUAG
Molecule: ribosomal RNA, 401 nt
Filed under: uncultured bacterium
Lineage: Bacteria
Description: bacterial SSU rRNA
Rfam family: Bacterial small subunit ribosomal RNA
Source: RNAcentral